Molecule: ribosomal RNA, 492 nt
Filed under: uncultured bacterium
Lineage: Bacteria
Description: partial 16S ribosomal RNA
Rfam family: Bacterial small subunit ribosomal RNA
Source: RNAcentral
AGUGAACGCUGGCGGUAGGCCUAACACAUGCAAGUCGAACGGCAGCACAGUAAGAGCUUGCUCUUACGGGUGGCGAGUGGCGGACGGGUGAGGAAUACAUCGGAAUCUACUUUUUCGUGGGGGAUAACGUAGGGAAACUUACGCUAAUACCGCAUACGACCUACGGGUGAAAGCAGGGGAUCUUCGGACCUUGCGCGAUUGAUUGAGCCGAUGUCGGAUUAGCUAGUUGGCGGGGUAAAGGCCCACCAAGGCGACGAUCCGUAGCUGGUCUGAGAGGAUGAUCAGCCACACUGGAACUGAGACACGGUCCAGACUCCUACGGGAGGCAGCAGUGGGGAAUAUUGGACAAUGGGCGCAAGCCUGAUCCAGCAAUACCGCGUGGGUGAAGAAGGCCUUCGGGUUGUAAAGCCCUUUUGUUGGGAAAGAAAAGCAGCAGGUUAAUACCCCGCUGUUCUGACGGUACCCAAAGAAUAAGCACCGGCUAACUUCGUG